CCCCUUUCCUUCCCCUCCCAAGGCUCCCCCCUUCCUCCUCUUCCCCCAGAAGCUCCCCCUCCUCCCGAGGCUCCCCCCUUCUUUCUCUCCCAUCUCUCGAGGCUCCCCCUUUCCUCCCCCAUUCCUCCCCACGAGGCUCCUCCCUUCCUCCCCCCCAAGGCUCCCCCUCCCCUUUCAUUCGCCCCCUCCCCGACCCCCGUCCUUGCUCGGCCGGUCCUGCCCUGUCCUUUCCUGCCCUGUCCUGUCCUGUCCUGCCCUGCCCUGUCGGGUCCUGUCCCGUCCGGUCCCGUCGGGUCCUGUCGUCGGGUCCCGUCCUGUCCCGCCGGUGCGACCCGCGCCUCCGUGGCGUUGGGCUCGCCGGUGGGCGGCGGCCGGGCGGGAGGAGCCCGGAGCGGCGGGGGCGGGGGCGUCCAGCACACUUUCCCCGCCCCCCUGCCGCGGGCGGGGGGCUGCCACCGCUCUCCGUGUGCGGGCUCUCUGUGUGCCUGUGCUGUGCGUGCGGUGGUGCGUGUGCGGUUGUGCGGUUGGGGGGGGGGGGGGGGCGGUGCCCGGCCGCGGCUCCUUGGGGAGGAGGGGGUGGGCAAAGGGGGGGCUCCUCGGCCGGCAGCCCCCUCCCACCGGCCCCCCGACCGACCCGGGACCCCCGGAGCCCCGGCCUCCGGACCGGACCAGAGAUGCACCGACCGCCGCGGCCCGGACCCUUCUCCCUCCUCCUCCUCCUGCUCCUGCUGCCCCUGCCCUCCUCCUCCUCCUCCUCCUCCUCCUCCUCCUCGUCGUCGUCGCCCCUGCCAACGCUGCCCCUGCUCCUGCUGCUGCUCCUGCUGGAGGUAGGGGCUUCCCGGACCCGCAGACCCCCUUCCCCAUCCCCCUUGCCCACCUCAGGAGGCCUGGCCGAGCAUCCCCCGGCCCUGCCCGCCGAAGGACGUGCCAGGAAACCCGGGACAGGCGGUUUCCCCGGCGAUCACCGUUCAUGCUUUCCCUUCUUUCCUGGAGAAGCUCUGGGGGACGAGGAAAGGGGGCCCUCCCCUCGUUGCCUUUGUUUUUCAUAAAAGAUGUGCAGAGAGAAGCCUCAGGCGUUGCCUCCCUCCAGCGUCCUGGGCCAGAUCUCUAGGCUGGUCUGUAAAUCGGA
Molecule: long non-coding RNA, 1129 nt
Filed under: Ornithorhynchus anatinus (platypus)
Lineage: Eukaryota; Metazoa; Chordata; Mammalia; Monotremata; Ornithorhynchidae
Description: lncRNA (ENSOANG00000042596.1)
Source: RNAcentral